Molecule: long non-coding RNA, 5408 nt
Filed under: Panax ginseng (ginseng)
Lineage: Eukaryota; Viridiplantae; Streptophyta; Magnoliopsida; Apiales; Araliaceae
Description: long non-coding RNA (PGIN_LNC010601)
Source: RNAcentral
CACUUUGACAAUUGAUGUUCUCCUGCAAGAAACCCCAUUAAGAAAUCAAACACUGAAUCAAAAUGUCCAAGAAUGAACAAAUUGCCCGUAGCAAGGUAACACGACAAGGGGCAUUAAAUUCAUCUAUCUGUUGAACUUAAAGCAUGAAGUCACAAUCUAGAAGCUAAAAUACAAACGGAUAUUACAUAAAUGCAGCACUGAGAACAUCAAACUGGACAAAGUGAUACAAACAGGAGUACCAACCCAGUUGGUAAUAUUAAUGAGCAACUAAUUCAUAUCAAUGCAGAAGGAAAAUGACGGUGAACUAACAUGGAGAUUACAGAAAAUGAGGGAAUCAUUACAGAGGGAUUGAAGAAAAAGGAGGUAGGUGAUCAAAUGGAGCUAGAGGAGGAUGAGCUGGAAGACUUGUUCACACUAAAUGAGCUCAGAAGAUCAAGGAGACAAAUUAAGGAACCCACGUGGCUGCAAGGAUACAACAGGGGAAGAAAAGGAAACACUAGAUAGUUUGUUAGGUGAUGUCAGUCUUUAAUCCAAGGGUUGAUAGAUAACUAGUUAUUAAUAAAAGAUGUAGGGUUGAGAUGAAUUAUCUAGAAUCUUGUACUAGAUGCCUAUAAGUAUCUUAUUUGGGGCUAAAGUUAAGAUAAGGAAGUAUUAUAUCUUUUACUCCGUUUUCUUUCUUUUCUGCUAAAAUUCUCUAAAGUCUAGCUGAAGACUAUAAUUUCAGCAUCAUUGGUGCUUUCAUUAUGACUGAACCAAACCGGAUAGAACAGUUGUUUGAACAAUUCAAUCAACAGUUCAAUCAAUUUACUCAAACAUUCACCCAACAAUUUCAACAAACUUUCACUGCUGUGAUGCAAGAUCAGAUGCAACAUUGGAGACCAGCCGGCCGAGAGGAACACCCACCGGACCCACCUCCAGUUGAUCGCCAGCAGGAUGAUUUCCAAAGGCGAGCCAAGGUGAAUUUUCCUAGAUUUGAGAGUGGAGAUCCUAUUGAAUGGCUCUACAAGGUGAACAAAUAUUUCGAAUAUCAUAAAAUUUCUGAGGACAACAAAUUAUCAUUGGUUGCUUUACAUCUUGAUGGAGCUGCUUCCAGUUGGUUUCAAUGGAUGGAAACGAACCACCUGGUAAGAUCUUGGGCUGAUUUUACUUUUCAAUUGCAUAUUAGAUUCGGACCCUCUCCAUAUGAUGAUUCCCAAUACCUACAGUGGAUGAGCUAUUUGAUGAGUUACAUAAUGCACGAUUCUAUUCCAAGAUUGACUUAAAAUCUGGAUACCACCAAACCAGAAUGGCUACAGAGGAUAUCCACAAAACUGCCUUCCGAACUCACAGUGGCCAUUAUGAGUUCUUGGUAAUGCCUUUUGGCCUAUCCAAUGCUCUUUCAACUUUUCAGGCAACUAUGAACUCUAAUUUUCAACAAUACUUAAGGCAGUUUGUUAUCAUCUUCUUUGAUGAUAUUUUGGUUUACAGUUCUGAUUUACCUUCUCAUGUGCAACAUUUAUCCCUAGUACUCAAUUGUUUAAGAACAAACUCUUUUUAUGCUAAACUUUCGAAGUGUCAAUUUGUUGUUACUAACAUUGAGUACUUAGGACAUAUAAUCUCUCAUCAAGGGGUGCAGCCUGAUACGAACAAAAUAGCGGCUAUACUGUCUUGGCCUAAACCAGCAACUGUGAAACAACUCCGGGGUUUCUUAGGUCUCACUGGAUAUUAUAGAAAGUUUGUUAGAGGAUAUGCAGCCAUUGCAGCCCCUUUAACAGACUUACUAAAACAUGAUGCCUUUGUAUGGAAUGCCAAAGCUACCACAGCAUUCUUACAGCUUAAAGAAACCCUCACAAAUGCGCCAAUGCUAGCUUUGCCAGAUUUCAGCCAACCAUUCUCUUUGGAAACUGAUGCUUCAACUUACGCAAUUGGUGUUGUACUCACCCAAGCAAACCAUCCCACCGCUUACUUCAGCAGGAAAUUAUGCCCAAGAAUGCAACAAGCUUCUACUUACCUUAGAGAACUAUUUGCCAUUACUGCUGCAAUAGCAAAAUGGAGACACUAUUUGCUCGGUUCUAAAUUCUACAUUUACACAGACAAACAGAGUUUACAGAACCUCAUGCAACAGGUCAUUCAAACUCCCGAACAGCAAUACUAUCUCACUAAGUUGUUGGGAUAUAUACCUAUGAGAUCAUCUACAAACCCGGCAAGCAUAAUGCAGCAGCCGAUGCCAUGUCUCGACACCCAACCCAUACACCAUGCCCAGCUUACACAGGUACCUUAUUAGCCCUUACUAUGCCUACAUUUCAAAUACUUGAGGAUAUCAAGCAAGCUCCUCAACAUUCAGCCAUUGAACUACAAUCGAUCUCCAACACUCCACCUUGGUCUAUAAAAGAGGGUCUUUACUUCUACCGGGACAAACUAUACAUUCCAAAUAUUUCCUCACUAAAGAAUUCUAUCAUGAGAGAGUUCCAUAAUUCAGCUGAAGGAGGGCAUGGGGGUACACAGAAGACUUUUAUGAAGCUCACGGCAAAUUUCUACUGCCCUCAGAUGCGGAGAGAUGUCAAAGUUUACAUAAAACAUUGUACAGUUUGUCAACAAGUCAAAGCUAUAAAUGUCAAUCCAUAUGGUCUUUUACAGCCAUUGGAAGUCCCCAACCAUAUCUGGGAAGACAUAAGCAUGGAUUUCAUCACCCAUCUUCCUGCAUCUCAGGGAUAUACCUGCAUUUUGGUGGUGGUAGACAGGUUCUCCAAAGCUGCUCACUUUGGUCCUUUACCUACAAGCUACACUACAUCAAAGGUAGCCUCUCUUUUUUGGGAUAUAGUAACCAAACACCAUGGCAUCCCUAAAUCGAUUGUAAGUGACAGGGAUGUAAUAUUCCUAUCCAAGUUCUGGAAGGAGCUAUUACAAGGAACAACAUUGAAGAUGUCCUCUUCCUAUCAUCCUCAGACUGAUGGACAAUCUGAGGUAGUUAACAGAUGCCUAGAACAAUAUUUGAGAUGCUUUGUCUCUGCUGAACCCCACCAAUGGCAUAGAUUCCUAGGCUUAGCUGAAUGGUUUUACAACACAUCUUAUCAUUCCACAAUACAACAAACCCCUUUUGAAGUUGUAUGUGGAAAGAAACCGCCAUCCCUUGCUCAAUACAUACCGGGCACUGCACAAGUGAAAGCAGUUGACAUCACACUGCAGACAAGAGAUGCAAAGUUGCAAAGUUUGAAAAACACCCUGACUUCAGCCCAGGUGAAAAUGAAACUUCAAGCAGAUAAACAACGCACAAAUUUCAGCUUCAACAUAGGGGAUUUGGUACUCGUCAAGUUACAACCUUAUAGACAAUAUAGUGUGCAAUACAGAUCUUCCUAAAAGCUAAACAAAAGGUACUAUGGACCCUAUCCUGUCAUUGAGAAGAUUGGACAAGUUGCUUACAAACUUCAAUUACCAACCCACUCUAAAAUCCAUCCAGUAUUUCAUAUCUCUUCUAAAAAAAUUCCAUGGGAACAGUCCACCACCAUCAGUAUCUUUACCACCACACUCUUAUCAUAACCAACCCAUACUUCAUCCAAUUGCCAUUCUAGAUACCAGGAAGAAAUUGGUCAACAAUCACUGGGAGUCUCAAAUUCUAGUCCAGUGGGAUGGUCUGCCAUUAGAUGAAGCUACUUGGACCUCCACUACACAAUUCCAGUCUACUUAUCCAACUUUUCACCUUGAGGACAAGGUGUCCCUUGAAGGGGUGAGUAUUGAUACAAACAGGAGUACCAACCCAGUUGGUAAUAUUAAUGAGCAACUAAUUCAUAUCAAUGAAGAAGCAACAUCAAUGCAGAAGGAAAAUGACGAUGAACAAACUAACAUGGAGAUUACAGAAAAUGAGGGAAUCAUUACAGAGGGAUUGAAGAAAAAGGAGGUAGGUGAUCAAAUGGAGCUAGAGGAGGAUGAGCUCAGAAGAUCAAGGAGACAAAUUAAGGAACCCACAUGGCUGCAAGGAUACAACAGGGGCAGAAAAGGAAACACUAGAUAGUUUGUUAGGUGAUGUCAGUCUUUAAUCCAAGGGUUGAUAGAUAACUAGUUAUUAAUAAAAGAUGUAGGGUUGAGAUGAAUUAUCUAGAAUCUUGUACUAGAUGCCUAUAAGUAUCUUAUUUGGGGCUAAAGUUAAGAUAAGGAAAUAAUAUAUCUUUUACUCUGUUUUCUUUCUUUUCUGCUAAAAUUCUCUAAAGUCUGGCUGAAGACUAUAAUUUCAGCAUCACAAAGACUACAACAUUGUAAUUUUACCCAAUAUAGCAUAUGAAUACCUUGUUACUGGUGCAAACUGAUCCUUCAGCAGUUCAGCACAAAUGGCAUUACUCAUUGGAGCUUUGAAGAAACUCAAUAAUAUUAAAGAGAUUCACAAAACUAUCAAACUGAAAAGCAUCAGUUUGCUUCCAAAGAACUUCUAUAAUAUGACCAUAUUGUAUUCAAUUGUCAAUAAAUGAUAAUGAAAAGAGUACUUCCAAUACACGAGAGUUUAUGCACGCCCAAAAUUUGGAGUAAUUGAUUUCGUUUUUUAUUACUUCAUCUAGACCCAAAAAGUACACAUCUUCACAAUGAAGGGGUUUGGAGGAAUGUGUGUGUGUGAUUAUGUUUCAAACCAAAAGUCCAACUCUCCUUUCCAGGAUGUUCCAAAACAGCAGGCCAUUGAAACUCUAGGUGGUUAAUAUCAUGAGAUGAAGUCUUUUGUUUAGGAAAGAGAGAGCAUUUAGAUUGGAAACAAUAUCCAAAAGGCCAAUGAGUUAAGGAAAAACCGAAAAAACAACCAUACCUUUGGGCCAACUGGUUUUCCCCCAUCAUUCUUUACUGGUUUGUUUGCCUUGGUUGCUUUCUGAACCUGUGCCAGGGCUCCGGAUACCUUCCUUCUGGUCAUGGAAUUCUGACUAGCAGCCAUUAUCUGUAAUGCAUUGUCUCUAUCAGCACCUGGAAAUCUAUUACCCUGAUCACCGGCUCGAACUUUAUCCUUAUCUUUAGAACCAGUCCACUGAUCUGGAUUGUUGAUCCCGUGUGGCAUCAAAACUUUUGUUUGCACAGUAGGAUGUUGAACCUGCAAGAUUUAAGAACAAUUUAGAAACCAUGCUUGCAGCCUGUUCACAAGAACAUUUAAAUAUCAAAACUAAAUACGAUAAGCAGCAUAAUCAAGAAUGAUUAUGAAAAAGGCAAACUUCUAAUGCCUAUUUUCCAGUGCAUAUGUUGUUUAUGGUAUCAAAAUUUAUCAAUAGUUAGCUUUAUCUAAGAAAAUUAUCAAUAAUUAGUUUUAUCUAAAAAACUAUCAAUGGUUAGUAACAAUUCUCAAAGUUCAUGAUAAUUGCAGUAACCCAACUGAGGCACAUGCUUCAGUUAACCCAAUCAAAAUGUUUCAAUUUUGCAGCUUCUCACCUUUGCUUUUGAAGUUUCAUGGUUAACGGAAUUCC